GCCGGGGAAAUACAUACAAUACAUAAAAAGAAAACAAGCAGCAUUAAGUAACAAUAUUUUAUCUCAUUGACUAUGCAUAUUACAUGUACAUACACAAAAAGUGAAACAGGCGAAAAUUCUGCGCAAUGUCUUAUAUACGGAAUUAGCUGACAAUUUAGCCAUGUUGACUGAAUUGCCGAUCUUAGUUUGUUGAUGAUUUUUGUCGAGCCUGCAACUUUUGUUGCCGAAAGCAUGACAUAGGGAUAGUGAUCCGGCGGCUACGGCGGCGGCGGCGUUAGCUAACUUCCUUAAAGCUUUAUAUUUAAGAAAGUGAAAGACCUGGAUGCUUCAUACAUUGUAUAUGGAUGCCUCAUGUUACGAAGUUUCUGUCAGUCACAUGUCCAAUGUCCUUGACCUCAUUUUCAUGGUUCAGUGACUACUUGAAAAAAAAGUUCAGAUUUUUUGUAAUGUUAAAUUCUCUCUAAUUAUAAGUAAUAGGAUAACUAUAUUUGGUAUGUGCGUAUCUUGCAAGGUCCUCAUGCAUUUCAGACAGUUUUCACUUGACCUCGACCUCAUUUUAAUGGAUCAGUGAAUAAGGUUAAGUUUUGGUGGGCAAGUCCAUAUAUCAGAUACUAUAAGCAAUAGGUUUAGUAUAUUCGGUGUACAUGUCCAACUUGCAGAUGUUAUCUGACCUUGACCUCAUUUUCAUGGUUCAGUGGUUAUAUUUAAGUUGAUGUGUUUUGGUCUAUUUUUCUUAUACUGUAUGCAAUAGGUCUACUAUAUUUGGUGUAUAGAAUGAUUGAAAGGUGUACAUGUCUAACUGGCAGGUGUCAUCUGACCUUGACCUCAUUUUCAUGGUUCAGUUGUCAAAGUUAAGUUUUUGAGUUUUGUUCUUUUUUUCAAAUACUAAUUGCAAUAGGUCAGCUAUAUUUGGUGUAUGGAAAUAUUUUAUGAUCUACAUAUUAGUCGUACGGGUUUUAUUUGACCUUGACCUCAUUUUCACGGUUCUUUGCUCAGUGUUAAGUUUUUGUGUUUUGGUCUGUUUUUCUUAAACUAUAAGCAAUAGGUCAACUAUAUUUGUAUGGAAGAACUGUUAGCUAUACAUGCCUGUCUGGCAUGGUUCAUAUGACCUUGACCUCAUUUUCAUGGUUCAUUGGUCAAUGUUUAGUUUUCUUGGUUAAGUUUUUAUGAUAGUUGUAAUAAAGCUUUAUAUUUAGGACCAUUAACAUAAUAUCAAUGAUUAGUUAAGAAGGCGAGACAUUUCAGUGUGUGCACUCUUGUUUCUAUAUUUACCAAUCAAUUAAGAAUUUUACUCCAAAAUUGACGAAAAUCGACAUUCAAGAGCUUUAAC
Molecule: long non-coding RNA, 1330 nt
Filed under: Mytilus galloprovincialis (Mediterranean mussel)
Lineage: Eukaryota; Metazoa; Mollusca; Bivalvia; Mytilida; Mytilidae
Source: RNAcentral